This 295-nucleotide long non-coding RNA is filed under the name Setaria viridis. Its description in RNAcentral is "long non-coding RNA (SVIR_LNC005294)". The record is from RNAcentral. Lineage: Eukaryota; Viridiplantae; Streptophyta; Magnoliopsida; Poales; Poaceae.
CUACUAACUACCAAAUACAACUAACUAACUAUGUCAUACAACUAACUAACUAUGCAACCUAAUAGUUAGUUAGGUACGUACCUAUACAACUGCUUAACUAAAUAACUAGUUUACUAUGUAACUAACUGUACAUCUAACUACGUAAAGAAAAUUGGACAUGCAUCUAGUUAAAUAGUGUCAUGAGUAUCCUCUAAUCUUUCUAUCAUUGCAAUUCAUAAAGAUAAAUUUUCAUAUCUAACAAUUCUACCUACCUAUUCUAAUUUACGCAUCUAACUAUUUCAUCUACCAAUUCUAC